Molecule: ribosomal RNA, 1450 nt
Filed under: Salmonella enterica subsp. enterica serovar Infantis
Lineage: Bacteria; Pseudomonadati; Pseudomonadota; Gammaproteobacteria; Enterobacterales; Enterobacteriaceae
Description: bacterial SSU rRNA
Rfam family: Bacterial small subunit ribosomal RNA
Source: RNAcentral
UGACGAGUGGCGGACGGGUGAGUAAUGUCUGGGAAACUGCCUGAUGGAGGGGGAUAACUACUGGAAACGGUGGCUAAUACCGCAUAACGUCGCAAGACCAAAGAGGGGGACCUUCGGGCCUCUUGCCAUCAGAUGUGCCCAGAUGGGAUUAGCUAGUUGGUGAGGUAACGGCUCACCAAGGCGACGAUCCCUAGCUGGUCUGAGAGGAUGACCAGCCACACUGGAACUGAGACACGGUCCAGACUCCUACGGGAGGCAGCAGUGGGGAAUAUUGCACAAUGGGCGCAAGCCUGAUGCAGCCAUGCCGCGUGUAUGAAGAAGGCCUUCGGGUUGUAAAGUACUUUCAGCGGGGAGGAAGGUGUUGUGGUUAAUAACCGCAGCAAUUGACGUUACCCGCAGAAGAAGCACCGGCUAACUCCGUGCCAGCAGCCGCGGUAAUACGGAGGGUGCAAGCGUUAAUCGGAAUUACUGGGCGUAAAGCGCACGCAGGCGGUCUGUCAAGUCGGAUGUGAAAUCCCCGGGCUCAACCUGGGAACUGCAUUCGAAACUGGCAGGCUUGAGUCUUGUAGAGGGGGGUAGAAUUCCAGGUGUAGCGGUGAAAUGCGUAGAGAUCUGGAGGAAUACCGGUGGCGAAGGCGGCCCCCUGGACAAAGACUGACGCUCAGGUGCGAAAGCGUGGGGAGCAAACAGGAUUAGAUACCCUGGUAGUCCACGCCGUAAACGAUGUCUACUUGGAGGUUGUGCCCUUGAGGCGUGGCUUCCGGAGCUAACGCGUUAAGUAGACCGCCUGGGGAGUACGGCCGCAAGGUUAAAACUCAAAUGAAUUGACGGGGGCCCGCACAAGCGGUGGAGCAUGUGGUUUAAUUCGAUGCAACGCGAAGAACCUUACCUGGUCUUGACAUCCACAGAAGAAUCCAGAGAUGGAUUUGUGCCUUCGGGAACUGUGAGACAGGUGCUGCAUGGCUGUCGUCAGCUCGUGUUGUGAAAUGUUGGGUUAAGUCCCGCAACGAGCGCAACCCUUAUCCUUUGUUGCCAGCGGUCCGGCCGGGAACUCAAAGGAGACUGCCAGUGAUAAACUGGAGGAAGGUGGGGAUGACGUCAAGUCAUCAUGGCCCUUACGACCAGGGCUACACACGUGCUACAAUGGCGCAUACAAAGAGAAGCGACCUCGCGAGAGCAAGCGGACCUCAUAAAGUGCGUCGUAGUCCGGAUUGGAGUCUGCAACUCGACUCCAUGAAGUCGGAAUCGCUAGUAAUCGUGGAUCAGAAUGCCACGGUGAAUACGUUCCCGGGCCUUGUACACACCGCCCGUCACACCAUGGGAGUGGGUUGCAAAAGAAGUAGGUAGCUUAACCUUCGGGAGGGCGCUUACCACUUUGUGAUUCAUGACUGGGGUGAAGUCGUAACAAGGUAACCGUAGGGGAACCUGCGGUUGGAUCACCUCCUUACCU